UCUUCCUCUCAGAUGCAAAUGCGAGCUAAGAUCAAGCAUAGUAUCUGUUCUUAUCAGUUUAAUAUCUGAUAUGUCCUUUAUUUGAGGACUGUAUAUUAAAUUGAUUUUUGAAACAGGGGGAUGGAAUAGGAGCUUGCUCUGUCCACCCCAUGCAUUGACCUGGUAUUGCAGUGCCUCCAGGACUGGUAGAAACCAG
Terrapene triunguis (Three-toed box turtle) is the source of this 196-nucleotide small nuclear RNA. Its record names the gene U2. It matches the Rfam family "U2 spliceosomal RNA". From Rfam's summary of the family: U2 is a small nuclear RNA (snRNA) component of the spliceosome (involved in pre-mRNA splicing). NCBI's taxonomy places the organism in Eukaryota, Metazoa, Chordata, Testudines, Emydidae. The record is from Ensembl.